RNAcentral lists this ribosomal RNA (499 nucleotides) under uncultured bacterium. RNAcentral describes it as "partial 16S ribosomal RNA". It matches the Rfam family "Bacterial small subunit ribosomal RNA", at positions 28 to 507 of the family's 1533-position model. The record is from RNAcentral.
GACGAACGCUGGCGGCGUGCCUAAUACAUGCAAGUCGAGCGAAGUUUUUCUGGUGCUUGCACUAGAAAAACUUAGCGGCGCACGGGUGAGUAACACGUAAAGAACCUGCCUCAUAGACUGGGACAACUAUUGGAAACGAUAGCUAAUACCGGAUAACAGUAUUUCUCGCAUGAGAGAUAUUUAAAAGUUGGUUAUGCUAACACUAUGAGAUGGCUUUGCGGUGCAUUAGCUAGUUGGUGGGGUAAAGGCCCACCAAGGCGACGAUGCAUAGCCGACCUGAGAGGGUGAUCGGCCACACUGGGACUGAGACACGGCCCAGACUCCUACGGGAGGCAGCGGUAGGGAAUCUUCCGCAAUGGGCGAAAGCCUGACGGAGCAACGCCGCGUGAGUGAAGAAGGAUUUCGGUUCGUAAAGCUCUGUUGUUAGGGAAGAAUGGAUAUGUAGUAACUAUACAUGUAAGAGACGGUACCUAACCAGAAAGCCACGGCUAACUACGUG